RNAcentral lists this ribosomal RNA (467 nucleotides) under uncultured bacterium. RNAcentral describes it as "partial 16S ribosomal RNA". It matches the Rfam family "Bacterial small subunit ribosomal RNA", at positions 28 to 507 of the family's 1533-position model. The record is from RNAcentral.
GACGAACGCUGGCGGCGUGCUUAACACAUGCAAGUCGAACGGAAAGGCCUCUUUCGGGGGGUACUCGAGUGGCGAACGGGUGAGUAACACGUGAGUAACCUGCCCUUGACUUUGGGAUAACUUCAGGAAACUGGGGCUAAUACCGGAUAGGAGCUCCUGCUGCAUGGUGGGGGUUGGAAAGUUUCGGCGGUUGGGGAUGGACUCGCGGCUUAUCAGCUUGUUGGUGGGGUAGUGGCUUACCAAGGCUUUGACGGGUAGCCGGCCUGAGAGGGUGACCGGCCACAUUGGGACUGAGAUACGGCCCAGACUCCUACGGGAGGCAGCAGUGGGGAAUAUUGCACAAUGGGUGGAAGCCUGAUGCAGCAACGCCGUGUGCGGGAUGACGGCCUUCAGGUUGUAACCCGCUUUCGCUCAUGACGAAGCUUUGUGUGACGGUAGUGGGUAAAGAAGCACCGGCUAACUACGUG